CACAGGUGCUGCAUGGCUGUCGUCAGCUCGUGUCGUGAGAUGUUGGGUUAAGUCCCGCAACGAGCGCAACCCUUGUCAUUAGUUGCUACAGUUCAGUUGGGCACUCUAAUGAGACUGCCGGUGACGAAGCCGGAGGAAGUGGGGAUGACGUCAAGUCCCUCAUGGCCCUUAUAGGUGGGGCUACACACGUCAUACAAUGGCUGGUACAAAGGGUUGCCAACCCGCGAGGGGGAAGCCAAUCCCAUAAAGCCAGUCGUAGUCCGGAUCGUAGUCUGCAACUCGACUACGUGAAGUCGGAAUCGCUAGUAAUCGUGGAUCAGAAUGUCACGGUGAAUACGUUCCCGGGUCUU
Molecule: ribosomal RNA, 350 nt
Filed under: uncultured Rhodoferax sp.
Lineage: Bacteria; Pseudomonadati; Pseudomonadota; Betaproteobacteria; Burkholderiales; Comamonadaceae
Description: bacterial SSU rRNA
Rfam family: Bacterial small subunit ribosomal RNA
Source: RNAcentral